UUUUCCUGAGAGAAGGAGAAGACAACCUAUUAGGAGAAAAGUUACAUGGCGACCUCUGCAUAGAAGAGGACAAAUAGAUCCUGAUUUUGAUGAUAUUUGACAAUAUGUCGCCAAAGUCGAAGAAGUUAGUGAAGGGGUUGUUCAAGGGCAUGGGCCUGUUUCAGGGCAAUUCUUUGAGCAACAACAGACAUCGAGAGUUGUUGAGCGCUACACAUGGAGAUGAGAGGUGCAACAUAAUGAGGAGGUGUAACACAAUGAGGAGGAGCAACACAAUGAGGAGGUGCAGCGUGCGACAUGGGACCAGGCCGUGCAUCAUCACCAGCCCUGGGACCAGUGGUACCACCGAAGAGAGCAGCAACUGGUGUGGGACUAGUGGGCCCAGCAGGCCCAGCUGCUGACAACCCGAUGGAUGAUGCUUCAAUAGGCUCUUCAGCGACACACACAUGCCGCUCUAGGAAGAGCCACUUAGUAAAGCCUCGUCUUGCGAUAGAGCAAGAGGCCGAUAGGACUUAAUCAUGCCUCAUGGAGAUCGGUGAGUGUAAUAUAUUAACUUGUCUCAUAUAACUAUUAU
Zea mays is the source of this 571-nucleotide long non-coding RNA. RefSeq lists it as uncharacterized. The record is from RefSeq and is a predicted model, not a curated record. NCBI's taxonomy places the organism in Eukaryota, Viridiplantae, Streptophyta, Magnoliopsida, Poales, Poaceae. The transcript has 3 exons.